RNAcentral lists this ribosomal RNA (1991 nucleotides) under human gut metagenome. Its description in RNAcentral is "bacterial LSU rRNA". It matches the Rfam family "Bacterial large subunit ribosomal RNA", at positions 1 to 1985 of the family's 2925-position model. The record is from RNAcentral.
ACAAGUUGACAAGAGCAUCGGGUGGAUGCCUUGGCGUCGGAAGGCGAUGAAAGACGUGGUAAGCUGCGAAAAGCCUCGGGGAGAAGCUAAACAUUCUGUGAUCCGGGGAUUUCUGAAUGGGGAAACCCGGCGGAGGUCAUGCUCCGUCGCGGGCACUUGAAUACAUAAAGUGUCCAGCGCCAACUCAGGGAAGUGAAACAUCUCAGUACCUGAAGGAAAAGAAAUCAAACGAGACUCCCAAAGUAGCGGCGAGCGAAAUGGGAUGAGCCCAAACCGGCUGGAUUCGUUCAGCCGGGGUUGUAGGGCCGGCAUAUGUGAUUCAUGAGUAGGCAGGGGAAAUGAGCUGGAAAGCUCUGCCAGAGCGGGUGACAGCCCCGUACCUGAAACCGAAAGCGACACAGCCGGUACCUGAGUACCGCGAGACACGUGGAACCUCGUGGGAAUCCGGGAGGACCAUCUUCCAAGGCUAAGUACUAACCGACGACCGAUAGUGUACCAGUACCGUGAGGGAAAGGUGAAAAGAACCUCUGUUAGAGGAGUGAAAUAGAAUCUGAAACCUGGUGCUUACAAGCUGUGAGAGCGGACUUGUUCCGUGAUCACGUGCCUUUUGCAUAAUGAGUCAGCGAGUUAAUCUGUACUGCGAGGUUAAGCGCAAGUGGAGCCGUAGGGAAACCGAGUCUGACAAGGGCGAUGAGUAGUGCGGAUUAGACCCGAAACCGGGUGAUCUAUCCAUGAGCAGGUUGAAGCAAGGGUAAAACCUUGUGGAGGACCGAACCAAUACCGGCUGAAAACGGUUUGGAUGACUUGUGGAUAGGGGUGAAAGGCCAAUCAAACCCGGUGAUAGCUGGUUCUCCCCGAAAUAUAUUGAGGUAUAGCCUCAUGGAUUGUCUACCGGAGGUAAAGCACUGACAGGGCUAGGGGUCCUACCAGAUUACCAAACCCUAUCAAACUCAGAAUGCCGGUCAGAUGUACCAUGGGAGUCAGACGGCGGGUGCUAAGGUCCGUCGUCGAGAGGGUAAGAGCCCAGAUCAACAGCUAAGGUCUCCAAAUCUAUGCUCAGUGGUUAAGGUGGUGACGUUGUAGAGACACCCAGGACGUUGGCUUAGAAGCAGCCAUCGUUUAAAGAAAGCGUAAUAGCUCACUGGUCUAAUGACGUUGCGCCGAAAAUGUAACGGGGCUAAGCAUAGUACCGAAGCUUUGAAUUCCGCGAAUGCGGUCUGGUAGGGGAGCGUUCUUCACGGGCUGAAGGUGUGUCGUAAGGCAUGCUGGACUGUGGAGAAGUGAUUAUGCUGACAUGAGUAACGAUAAAACGGGUGAAAAACCCGUUCGCCGUAAACCCAAGGUUUUCCGGGUAAAGGUAAUCUUCCCGGAGUUAGUCGGCCCCUAAGGCGAGGCUGAAAGGCGUAGCUGAUGGGAAACGUGUUAAUAUUCACGUACUUGUGUGUUCGCGCGAUGAAGGGACGCAGGAAGAUAGGCAAGCCGGGCGCUGGUUGUCCCGGUGCAAGCGUGUAGGGAUGAGAAGUUGGCAAAUCCGCUUCUCUUUAUCCUGAGACGCGAGUCCGUGACCGAAAGGUCUGAAGUUGUUGAGUCUAUGCUGCCUAGAAAAGCUUCUAAGUAUAGGACACGCAAACCGUACCGGAAACCAACUCAGGUGGGUGGGAUGAAUAAUCCAAGGCGCUCGAGAGAACUCUGGCCAAGGAACUCGGCAAAAUAACCCCGUACCUUCGGAAGAAGGGGUGCUUUUUAGGGUGAAGCGAUUCACUCUGUCGAGCCCUGAAAAGCCGCAGAGAAAUGGUGGUGGCGACUGUUUACUAAAAACAUAGGUCUGUGCCAAGUCGUAUAGACGACGUAUACGGACUGACGCCUGCCCGGUGCUGGAAGGUUAAAAGGAGGAGUCAGCGCAAGCGAAGCUCCGAAUUGAAGCCCCAGUAAACGGCGGCCGUAACUAUAACGGUCCUAAGGUAGCGAAAUUCCUUGUCGGGUAAGUUCCG